AGAAAGAAAUGUCACAGCGAUACAUGCUGCACCAUGGAUGGACCCUACAAAUAUACCAAGAAAAAGAAGCCAGACAUGAAAGUGUUAUUGGAGAGUAGGAUGGCCCCCUAAGUCUGCAUAAGAAGAGGUGGAGAGACAUGGAGACAGACACAGAGGGAAGACGGCCAUUUGAAAACACGAGAGAUCCCAGCAAAGUAUCUACAGACAAGGAGCCCAAGGACUGCCUGCCAUCCCCAGAAGCGAGGAGAGCUGGGAACGGAUUCUCCCUUUGAGCCUCAGAGCCCUCACAAGGCCAGCUCUGCACCUUGAUCUUGGACUUCUGGCCUCCAGAACUGUGAGAGAAUACAUUUUUAUGGUUUUAAGCCACUUGGCUUGUGGCACUUUGUGACAGCAGCCCCAGGAAAUGAAUAUGGGCAGGAAAAGGUCAGUCUCUUGACUUCCCAGAUUAUUCUGCCCUACAGAGGGAGGUUUGGGGUACAGUGACUGACAGCCACCCCAGAAGCUCAAAUGUGUGUGUGGGAGGAACAAUACCCCAAAGGGAAGGUCUAUACCCCAGAAGAAGGAGGAAGGAACUGGGGCAGAUGAGAAGUCCUGCUGUCCUACACACACACACCCUUCACCUCCUACUCAUGAAAGAGGGAGGAAGUGGGGGCUUGGUCAGUGGAGCUGCUGGUUCAAAGUCUAGAGCUCCUGUGUGACCAAGUCACAGUUAUAAUCGAGGCGUUCCUUUCUACAGGCUCAGAUCCAUCUGAUUACAUCACGUUCAAGUUGAGGACAGUUAAAAUCAGGCUGAGGAUAGGGCUGGCCAGAAAAUUUUCAUGUCAUCCAUUGUCUGCAGCAUAACUCUUCACUGAAUUCCUGAUUUGUACCCAAACUCACCACUCUACACUGUACAUACCCCACCCUCCUAUAUGCCUACAAGCAUUCAUGGCAAGACUGGUAUUUAGACAAAACAGGUUUGGGGACCCCAUGGGAGCUCUGCAUUUCACAGCUGAGUAAACCAGGGUGUCACUACACAUCUCUGAACCUUGGUUCCUCAUUCGUUAUGUGCAAGCACCAGUACAGAGGCAUGUUGUACCACAGCCCACCAAAGUCUGACAGGUGGCAUGUGUCUAAGACACAGAAGCCAUCAAUGCACAUCAACCUCCACUUCGUGGUAAAUUUUCUCACCCACCCAAACCCAUCCAUCCCAGUCCUGGAGACUUACCGAGGCAAAGCAAGGACAGGAAUUCUGUGAUCAUAGUGCCCCUUCCACCCAGACCGAGAUCCUGUCUUCAGUUUUAUAGUUCAAAGGAAGAAGGGGGACUGGGCCAUCAUGGCUCCCUCCUGCCACUUUGUGCCCAGGCUGUGUGGGUAGAGGUUUCACCCUGACACUUUGGUUCUCCACCACCUGGUGUAGAGUUUCCUUCUCACAACCAAGCCAGGAAAUGAUCAAUGACAACAUCUCCUUCAUAAAUCCGGUGUGUGUGCCAGCUCCACCCACCCCAAGAUCUGUCUUAUCUCAUCUAAAGUCCUGACCAAGAUAUUUUCUUUUACAAAAAAAUAAUAAUUGUCUUGGAAAACGUUUUAGAGUUGCAAAAAAAAAAAAAAAUACAGGGUUCCCAUGUGCCCAUCAACCAGCUUUCCCUAAUGGUAGUAGAAGUACAGUACAUUAUCAAAACCAGAAAAUUAGCAUCAGCAAAAUACAGUGGCUGGGCAAGCACAUGGUAACGUCUAAAAUGCAGGAGUCUCUGGUAAAAGCUGGGCACCCGCUGCCCGUGAGAGCAGGUUGGUCAACAAGAAAGCAGAAAUGGAUGUCUGCCUUUGAAGCUGAGUAAACUUGUCUCUUAGUAAACCUUGACAAA
Molecule: long non-coding RNA, 1844 nt
Organism: Neofelis nebulosa (Clouded leopard)
Lineage: Eukaryota; Metazoa; Chordata; Mammalia; Carnivora; Felidae
Exons: 2
Source: RefSeq, a predicted model, not a curated record